Zonotrichia albicollis (white-throated sparrow) is the source of this 2810-nucleotide long non-coding RNA. The record is from Ensembl. Lineage: Eukaryota; Metazoa; Chordata; Aves; Passeriformes; Passerellidae.
UGGGCAGGGGAUCCCUGUCCCCUGGUGGCCCCACAGCCCCCUCUCCCCUCACAGGGCACAGGAGCCCUUUUCCGGAUCCGCCUGGCCGGGGGCUCGGCCCCCUGCACCUACCUGUCCCCUCAGGAUCCCCAUCCUCUCUGCCACCCUGCCAUCGACAGGGCCCUGCAGCUGUGCGGGGCCGGGGGCCCUCCCCACGUGAGGCUGACGGUGGAGUGGGACAUGAGCACCAAAGAGCGGCUGUUUGGGAGCAUCCAGGAGGAGGUGGUGCAGGAUGCAGAGAGCGUGAGGCGGCAGCAGCAGGCGCACGGGCAGCAGCACAGCUGCACCCUGGAUGAAUGCUUCCAGCUCUACACCAAGGAGGAGCAGGUACGGGCAUCUCUGGCAAGCCCAUGCCCUGCCCACCCUGGCACAGGGGCUGCAGUGCUGGGGGUGGCUGNUGCACGUGUGAAGUGACAGGGUGACCAUAGCCACACCAGGCAGUGUCACCCUGUCCCUUGCUGAGAGCAGAGCAACCCCCUCAGACAGAAGAAGCACCUCUGCCACCCCUGCCCAGCUCAAGGACGUUGCUCAGGGACAUUUCUCAGAGAUGUUGCUCAGGGACAUUGCCCAGGGACAUUACACAAAGGACAUUUCUCAGGGACAUUGCCCAGGGACAUUUUUCAGGGAUAUUGCCCAGGGAUGUUGCCCAGGAAUAUUUCUCAGGGAUGUGGCUCAGGGAUCUUGUCCCACAAUGGCACAGGGGAGCUGCACAGGGGAGCCAGGGGUGAUGCCAGGUGUGUGUCAGGGCUGCAUCCAUGCCAGAGUGCCCUGCCAGGCCCACAGCAAUGCGUUGGCAGAGCCACACAGGUGCCAGUGCCACCCAAAGGCAGGACACAGCCCCUGGGGACACAGUGACCACUCCCUCUCUGCCACUCGUGCCUGCCCACCCCUCACAGGCAGGGCAGGCACGCAGGGACAGAGCCCUGACUCCUGCCAGGUCCCAUGGAAAGGACACUGGGACCCCCCCACCAGCCUCUCUGUCCUCUGUAGUCCCCAAUGCCAUCUGCACUUCCCAAGCACGCCCCUGGCUGUCCCCUCAGCAGCGCAGGGACAGCAGCACAGCUCCGGGGAUGCCACAUUCCUGGUGACACUGCCAACUCCCAGGGGACACUGCCAGCUUCCCAAUGCCUUGGCACCUCCCUGGGCUCAUCACCACCGUCUUGGGGACAGUUCCACCUUUCCAGGGGCAUCACCACCCUCCCGAGUACAUGGCUAUUGUCACCUUCCUGGGGACAACACCAACUUCCUGGGAACAGUUCUGCCUUUCUGGGGACAUUGUCACCUUCCUGGGGACAUCAGCAUCUUCCUGGGGACGGUUCUGCCUUUCCAGAGACACUGUCACCUUCCUGGGGAACACCGCCACCUUCCCGGACACAUUUUUGCCUUUCCAGUUCCACCUCUGCGGGGAGGGUGCCACCUCCCAGGGGACAUGCCCACCUUCCAGGGCACACUGCUGCCUCCUCAGGGCCACUGUCCCCGUGCCGGGGGUCUCUGCCCCCCUCCCGGGACCCUCCCCCGGGGUUACCUNGGCCGUGCCCGAGUCCAGCUUCUGAGCCAUGGAUGGGAGCACCACCCCAGCAGCUGUACAGCAGGUCCUGGACGGAUCGGGGAGCUCCCCAACAGGGGUGUCUCACCACAAGGGUGCCUGAACCAGGGAUCCCAAACCGCAAGGGUGUCUGAAGCAGGGAUCCCAAACCAGGGACAUCCCGACCUGGGGGCUCCCAGCCCAGGGACUUCUGAGCUGGGGGAAAACCAAACCAGGCUACCCUGACCCAGAGGCUCCCAAAUGGAAUCCUGACAUGGGGGGUCCUGCCUGACCCAGGGCACCCCGGGUCCCGAUCCGGAAGCAUUCCAAACAAGGACCAUCCCUAGCUGGGGGUUUCAGACCCGGGUUCAUCCCAAAGUGGUGACUCUGAACCCGGGAAUCUCCCAGCUCGGGGCCAUCCCAAACAGGGCAGGCGGGUGCAUGGUCCCCAGCUCUGCAGCACCAGAGUAUUUAUUGUACCAGGAGAGUUUUAUUCAGAGACGCUUUUUGUUUUCUAAAAGGCGACUAUUUGAGGGUGGGGGGGUCCCCCACACCUCGGUCUAUGCAAUCCCCGAUUCCUGCAGCCAGCUUUUGUACGGGGCUCUGCCCCACCGCCGGCGGUUUCUAUUAAAGACACGUGAAACAAACCCAGCGUCCAUCCCAGGGGAAAAGGACUCCGAGUCCCUUGGGGCUGGUCCUGGUCCUGCAGUGGGGAUCAGCCCGGGAUCAGGGGUUACUCCUGGCUGCAUCCUGCCAUGUGGGGUGGCUGUUUCUGGGGGAGGGGGACCCUGCCCCAUCCCAUGGCACCAGACCCGUAAAGUUCCCUAUAAAACACCAAACCACCAUUUUAUCCCCCAAACGCUCUCCCACCUCCCAGUCCUUCUCCCAAGGCGGGGGCAGGAAGGAAGGGCCAGCGCCGCCGGGCGGUUCUCAGCGAGUGGCACACGGAUUUAUUGGAUUUAUUGAUUGCUUUGGGAUGCUGGUGCCCCCCGGUGCCCACCUGGGGCGGGGGGCACGGCGCGAGCGGGGCGGGGGCAAAGCGCUGCCAUUUCCAUCCUCCCUCUCGCCCCGGCCGGGCGGGAAUGGCUCCACAUAAAACAAAUCUCUCUAUAGUUUCUCUCUCUCUAUACAAAUAUAGAAUAUAUAUAUAUAUCUCUGCCGAUAUAUAUAUACAGCUCUUCUCUCUCUGGAAAGGAUAAAGGUUAAUUUGUCUGUGCAUGCACGACCAAAGCCACCAAGCCCCGGG